GCCAGCCCGCUCAGAAACUCAAGGAAUUGACGGGGCCCGCACAAGCGGUGGAGCAUGUGGUUUAAUUCGAUGCAACGCGAAGAACCUUACCUGGUCUUGACAUCCCGGAGACCCUUAGGAAACUAGGGGGUGCUUCCAUCUGGAAGAAUCUGGAGACAGGUGCUGCAUGGCUGUCGUCAGCUCGUGUCGUGAGAUGUUGGGUUAAGUCCCGCAACGAGCGCAACCCUUGCCUUUAGUUGCCAGCAGUUCGGCUGGGCACUCUAAAGGGACUGCCGGUGUUAAACCGGAGGAAGGUGGGGAUGACGUCAAGUCCUCAUGGCCUUUAUGACCAGGGCUACACACGUACUACAAUGGCCGAUACAAAGGGCAGCGACACUGCGAGGUGAAGCCAAUCCCGUAAAAUCGGUCUCAGUCCGGAUUGGAGUCUGCAACUCGACUCCAUGAAGUUGGAAUCGCUAGUAAUCGUGGAUCAGCAUGCCACGGUGAAUACGUUCCCGGGCCUU
Molecule: ribosomal RNA, 503 nt
Filed under: uncultured Desulfobulbus sp.
Lineage: Bacteria; Pseudomonadati; Thermodesulfobacteriota; Desulfobulbia; Desulfobulbales; Desulfobulbaceae
Description: bacterial SSU rRNA
Rfam family: Bacterial small subunit ribosomal RNA
Source: RNAcentral